This 1442-nucleotide ribosomal RNA is filed under the name uncultured organism. RNAcentral describes it as "16S ribosomal RNA". It matches the Rfam family "Bacterial small subunit ribosomal RNA". The record is from RNAcentral.
CAGGCUUAACACAUGCAAGUCGAGGGGCAGCAUUUUAGUUUGCUUGCAAACUGAAGAUGGCGACCGGCGCACGGGUGAGUAACACGUAUCCAACCUGCCGAUAACUCCGGAAUAGCCUUUCGAAAGAAAGAUUAAUACCGGAUAGCAUACGAAUAUCGCAUGAUAUUUUUAUUAAAGAAUUUCGGUUAUCGAUGGGGAUGCGUUCCAUUAGUUUGUUGGCGGGGUAACGGCCCACCAAGACUACGAUGGAUAGGGGUUCUGAGAGGAAGGUCCCCCACAUUGGAACUGAGACACGGUCCAAACUCCUACGGGAGGCAGCAGUGAGGAAUAUUGGUCAAUGGGCGAGAGCCUGAACCAGCCAAGUAGCGUGAAGGAUGAAGGCUCUAUGGGUCGUAAACUUCUUUUAUAUGGGAAUAAAGUUUUCCACGUGUGGAAUUUUGUAUGUACCAUAUGAAUAAGGAUCGGCUAACUCCGUGCCAGCAGCCGCGGUAAUACGGAGGAUCCGAGCGUUAUCCGGAUUUAUUGGGUUUAAAGGGAGCGUAGGUGGAUUGUUAAGUCAGUUGUGAAAGUUUGCGGCUCAACCGUAAAAUUGCAGUUGAAACUGGCAGUCUUGAGUACAGUAGAGGUGGGCGGAAUUCGUGGUGUAGCGGUGAAAUGCUUAGAUAUCACGAAGAACUCCGAUUGCGAAGGCAGCUCACUAGACUGUCACUGACACUGAUGCUCGAAAGUGUGGGUAUCAAACAGGAUUAGAUACCCUGGUAGUCCACACAGUAAACGAUGAAUACUCGCUGUUUGCGAUAUACAGUAAGCGGCCAAGCGAAAGCAUUAAGUAUUCCACCUGGGGAGUACGCCGGCAACGGUGAAACUCAAAGGAAUUGACGGGGGCCCGCACAAGCGGAGGAACAUGUGGUUUAAUUCGAUGAUGCGCGAGGAACCUUACCCGGGCUUAAAUUGCAACAGAAUAUAUUGGAAACAGUAUAGCCGUAAGGCUGUUGUGAAGGUGCUGCAUGGUUGUCGUCAGCUCGUGCCGUGAGGUGUCGGCUUAAGUGCCAUAACGAGCGCAACCCUUAUCUUUAGUUACUAACAGGUUAUGCUGAGGACUCUAGAGAGACUGCCGUCGUAAGAUGUGAGGAAGGUGGGGAUGACGUCAAAUCAGCACGGCCCUUACGUCCGGGGCUACACACGUGUUACAAUGGGGGGUACAGAAGGCGGCUACCUGGUGACAGGAUGCUAAUCCCAAAAACCUCUCUCAGUUCGGAUCGAAGUCUGCAACCCGACUUCGUGAAGCUGGAUUCGCUAGUAAUCGCGCAUCAGCCAUGGCGCGGUGAAUACGUUCCCGGGCCUUGUACACACCGCCCGUCAAGCCAUGAAAGCCGGGGGUACCUGAAGUACGUAACCGCAAGGAGCGUCCUAGGGUAAAACUGGUAAUUGGGGCUAAGUCG